AGAGAACGCUGGCGGUAGGCCUAACACAUGCAAGUCGAACGGCAGCACAGUAAGAGCUUGCUCUUACGGGUGGCGAGUGGCGGACGGGUGAGGAAUACAUCGGAAUCUACUUUUUCGUGGGGGAUAACGUAGGGAAACUUACGCUAAUACCGCAUACGACCUACGGGUGAAAGCAGGGGAUCUUCGGACCUUGCGCGAUUGAAUGAGCCGAUGUCGGAUUAGCUAGUUGGCGGGGUAAAGGCCCACCAAGGCGACGAUCCGUAGCUGGUCUGAGAGGAUGAUCAGCCACACUGGAACUGAAACACGGUCCAGACUCCUACGGGAGGCAGCAGUGGGGAAUAUUGGACAAUGGGCGCAAGCCUGAUCCAGCCAUACCGCGUGGGUGAAGAAGGCCUUCGGGUUGUAAAGCCCUUUUGUUGGGAAAGAAAAGCAGCAGGUUAAUACCCCGCUGUUCUGACGGUACCCAAAGAAUAAGCACCGGCUAACUUCGUG
This 492-nucleotide ribosomal RNA is filed under the name uncultured bacterium. Its description in RNAcentral is "partial 16S ribosomal RNA". It matches the Rfam family "Bacterial small subunit ribosomal RNA", at positions 31 to 507 of the family's 1533-position model. The record is from RNAcentral.